UACGUAGGGUGCGAGCGUUGUCCGGAAUUAUUGGGCGUAAAGAGCUUGUAGGCGGUUUGUCGCGUCUGCCGUGAAAAUUCGAGGCUCAACCUCCGAACUUGCGGUGGGUACGGGCAGACUAGAGUGUGGUAGGGGAGACUGGAAUUCCUGGUGUAGCGGUGAAAUGCGCAGAUAUCAGGAGGAACACCGAUGGCGAAGGCAGGUCUCUGGGCCACUACUGACGCUGAGAAGCGAAAGCAUGGGGAGCGAACAGG
This 254-nucleotide ribosomal RNA is filed under the name uncultured bacterium. RNAcentral's name for it is "partial 16S ribosomal RNA". It matches the Rfam family "Bacterial small subunit ribosomal RNA", at positions 524 to 776 of the family's 1533-position model. The record is from RNAcentral.